GGAUGUGAGGGUGAUCUGGCUGCGACAUCUGUCAUCCCACUGAUGACCAAGUUUGAUUCUGCUGAUCUGACUGGUUUGGUGGGUGCCUCCUUCCUUCUUCCCCACUCCAUAUGCAUUCUUCCCAAAAUUGUGUGCCAGUGGAUGAACUUCCCCACAUAAAGAUUGUCAGGUCUUUAGUUGAGGGUAUAUGAGGAACCAUGCCCCCUGUUAAAAUCUCCAAACAAGCUCUCAGGAAAGCAUUAAAUGGAGGUAUGGGGAGAGUGGAAUCACCCUUUACCACUGCCUCCUUCACUUUUAACCAGUCACAUGGGA
Unclassified non-coding RNA from Erinaceus europaeus (western European hedgehog), 312 nucleotides. Its record names the gene 7SK. It matches the Rfam family "7SK RNA". From Rfam's summary of the family: 7SK was discovered as an abundant small nuclear RNA in the mid-70s but a possible function has only recently been suggested. Two independent studies have found that 7SK RNA binds the CDK9/cyclin T complex (known as elongation factor P-TEFb). The record is from Ensembl. NCBI's taxonomy places the organism in Eukaryota, Metazoa, Chordata, Mammalia, Eulipotyphla, Erinaceidae.